Non-coding RNA from Pelobates cultripes (western spadefoot toad), 386 nucleotides. The record is from the annotation of a GenBank genome assembly. NCBI's taxonomy places the organism in Eukaryota, Metazoa, Chordata, Amphibia, Anura, Pelobatidae.
AGCAGUAACACCCGCUCCUGCAGUCUACCAACCCCCAGUACACCGUACCCCAGCCGCACCACCAGCUAACAAUUAUAUGCAACCAGCCCGAUUUAAUGCCCGGGAGUACUCCCAACCCAUCCGGUGCUAUGGGUGCAAGCAGUUGGGGCACAAGCGUCCUGAGUGCCCACUGAACAGUGCCAACCAGGCUCAGUCCUGGAGGAGACCAGUUAAUGGAAACCAGCGCCCACCUCAGCCUGCUGCUCACUGCCUAGAGCAAGAGGAAUUUUGGGGCAUUCUACACGAGGCAGACCCAGUGCAAGCAGCUCACCAGGAUAAUCGCCAGCAACAUCGGCAAACUGUGAAGCUGAAUGGCAGAGUGGUGAAUGGGCUGAGAGACACAGGAG